Molecule: transfer RNA, 69 nt
Filed under: Gastraspis sp. ZJUH_2016016
Lineage: Eukaryota; Metazoa; Arthropoda; Insecta; Hymenoptera; Figitidae
Description: tRNA-Asn
Source: RNAcentral
UUAAUUGAAACCAAAAAAAGAGGUUAAUUAUUGUUAAUAAUUAAAAUGAAUAUAUAAAUUCCAAUUAAA